AGAUGGGGAGAAAGCAAAGCGAAGGCUGAGGAUAUAUAAGGAGGAUAGGCAGAGACAGCGAUGGAGAGUGAAGGGAUAAGAAGAAGGGGAGGAGGAAGACGAGGGGCUAAUAGCAAAUAGUGGGUCAGAGAAAAUUUGUAAUAGUUGGGUAGAGGCAGAGGAUUUAUUAGAGGAAGUGAAAGGACUGAAAGUGGGUAGGAGUGAAAAGUGAGUGGGAGUGAGGAAGGUGAAAAUAGGAAUAGGAGAGAUAGACAAGAUAAGAAUGAGGCGAGGAGGGCGGGAGAUUGGGAAAUGGUUUUGAGUACCUCUGAGUCUACAGGUGACUGGUUUGGCAGCAGUGGGGGGAGAAGGCAAGUGAGUGAAAGUAUCAUAGAAAAUGGAAAAGGUUGCACAGUGCAAAUCUGUGUGGUGUUGAGAGUGGUGGAGCUGAUAGAGUGGAUUGGUCAAGUGCAGAGACAGAGCAGUGGAAAAAGAAAAAAAAACCCACAGUCAAUGUCUGACAAGAGAGAGGAGAGAGGAGACCGGUGUGCCUGCGCUGGUGUAAACAUGACAGGAGGGCUUUUACCGCCCGGAGACAGGAGUGUGGCUGAGGAGAGCAGUGGUAUAUGCUGGACAGAGUUUCGUGGAAGUGGAGGGAGAGGAUUUUGAGGACCCAAAUUCAAAACCCAAACUGUGAACACCGAGAGCGAGAGCUUUGAAUUAACAGCAGCUCGCGGUUUCUCUGCUAGCUUGAGGAGAAGAUGAAGGGAGCUUUCAGCCUCUUAGAAGAUGAGGGUUAAAGAACGGAGAGAUUAAGGAAGUGAGAGAGCGACUGAAAGGAGGACUGGGGAUUAUGUCAUCUACAAUUGAUGUGCUCUCUUAAUGUACCUUUAAACAUGUGCCACUGGGGCCUGC
Long non-coding RNA from Haplochromis burtoni (Burton's mouthbrooder), 894 nucleotides. RefSeq lists it as uncharacterized. The transcript has 3 exons. The record is from RefSeq and is a predicted model, not a curated record. Lineage: Eukaryota; Metazoa; Chordata; Actinopteri; Cichliformes; Cichlidae.